UUUUGAAUAUAUCCCACCAAACUGUCUGACGCAACGGCAGAAGUAAUUGAAAUUUGGAAUAAUAGGAAUUGUACAUGGCAUGACAAAUUCGGGGUGCCGUUGGCCACUGGACUAAUCGAAAAGGGGGUCGCGAGCCCGAAAAGGUUGGAAACCGCUGCUCUAAAAACAAUUGUGGCGCACAUACUCAAAUUUUGAGGAAAAUAUUCAAUUUGUUGGUCACUUGCCCCAUCGUACCGUAGAACAGCUCCGCAAGUGACCAUGAAAAGGUAUCUAUUCAUGUAACGGAACGUCCAGUCCCGCGACCAACAGUAGAAAGCCGGAAUACAUAACAAGCUCAGCCUUGGCGCUGCAAACGUGAGAUGGUACUUUCUUCUGGCCGGACCGAACUGGACCGGUCCAAAGAAGAUGUGUUUUGGAAGAAAACUACAUGCACUACCCCCGUCGUCAUCGUCCCCAGCGUCAUUACCGACCGAAAAGGACUUGCUGCUAUCGAGUUAUGGCGGAAACUUUUGGUCAAGUAAUUUA
Armigeres subalbatus is the source of this 525-nucleotide long non-coding RNA. RefSeq lists it as uncharacterized. NCBI's taxonomy places the organism in Eukaryota, Metazoa, Arthropoda, Insecta, Diptera, Culicidae. The transcript is spliced from 3 exons. The record is from RefSeq and is a predicted model, not a curated record.